UACGAAGGGGCUAGCGUUGUUCGGAAUCACUGGGCGUAAAGGGCGCGUAGGCGGCCGAUCAAGUCGGGGGUGAAAGCCUGUGGCUCAACCACAGAAUUGCCUUCGAUACUGGUUGGCUUGAGACCGGAAGAGGUAAGUGGAACUGCGAGUGUAGAGGUGAAAUUCGUAGAUAUUCGCAAGAACACCAGUGGCGAAGGCGGCUUACUGGUCCGGUUCUGACGCUGAGGCGCGAAAGCGUGGGGAGCAAACAGG
Molecule: ribosomal RNA, 252 nt
Filed under: uncultured bacterium
Lineage: Bacteria
Description: partial 16S ribosomal RNA
Rfam family: Bacterial small subunit ribosomal RNA
Source: RNAcentral